Molecule: ribosomal RNA, 469 nt
Filed under: uncultured bacterium
Lineage: Bacteria
Description: partial 16S ribosomal RNA
Rfam family: Bacterial small subunit ribosomal RNA
Source: RNAcentral
GAUGAACGCUGGCGGCGCGCCUAACACAUGCAAGUCGAACGGUUAAAGCACCUUUUAGGUGUGUAUAAAGUGGCGAACGGCUGAGUAACACGUGGGCAACCUGCCCUCCUCUUGGGGAUAGCCUCGGGAAACCGAGGAUAAUACCCGAUACUUCAAUGUGGCCGCAUGACGACAUUGAGAAAGCUUUUGCGGAGAAGGAUGGGCCCGCGGCCUGUUAGCUUGUUGGUGGGGUAGAGGCCUACCAAGGCAAUGAUGGGUAGCUGGGUUGAGAGACCGACCAGCCAGAUUGGGACUGAGACACGGCCCAGACUCCUACGGGAGGCAGCAGGGGGGAAUCUUGCACAAUGGGCGAAAGCCUGAUGCAGCGACGCCGCGUGCGGGACGAAGGCCUUCGGGUUGUAAACCGCUUUCAGCAGGGACGAGGCGAUAAGUGACGGUACCUGCAGAAGAAGCCCCGGCUAACUACGUG